Brienomyrus brachyistius is the source of this 1358-nucleotide long non-coding RNA. RefSeq lists it as uncharacterized. The transcript is spliced from 2 exons. The record is from RefSeq and is a predicted model, not a curated record. Lineage: Eukaryota; Metazoa; Chordata; Actinopteri; Osteoglossiformes; Mormyridae.
CUGCGGGCGGCGAGAAUAGUUUAGCUAAACGGCCCUAAACCGUUUCCCAUUCAUUCUCUAUGGUAGUGCUAAACCACUACGGAUGUAAUAUAUUUUUGGCCACUACGACUUUGUGGCGCUGUUCCGAGAUUUUAAAGACGCAAAGUUUCUAAAAUCUUUAUUACAUGGAUAAACUUCUGUGGACACAGGACGAGUCACCAGCUUCUCGCUUCGGUUAUUUACACUUACUGUUCAUCUAUCAAAGAGACAGAAUUCUUCCAGAAGGAACUGGAGGCCGCCAAGAAACAGAUGAAGCAGAAUAUGGAGACAAGGAGAAAAGGGCCAGACUCACGACAACCAAGGCCGCCUUUGCAGAUUCUGCUGCAUGAACCUGAAACAGGAACCAAACAGCCUGCACAUCUACACCGGAUGCCUUUAAUGUUCCAUGUUAUUUCAAUAAGACCUCUCUUUAUGAGUAUAGUCCAUGCUUUUAUAUUUGUGUAAAACAGUAAGAUACAUAAAAAAUGCUUUAUAUUUGUAUAGAGGUACUUUCAUCUUCAAGAUCUUCCUGUGUGAUAUAUUUUGUUUGUUAUAAAUGUGUCUGUUUUAUGUUGUAUUGAUGUGAUUAAGAUUGUUACACUGACCUUGAUGCAUGGCUGAAAAUCUGUCAUGUUCUACCUGCACUGUUAACAGGCACUCUAUGUAUCCAUAUUAUAUACAUACCAUCUUCUGGGACCCUGCCCCCCAUAGCUGACCCAGCCCUCUGCUCGGCAUUCCUGCUCUCACUCAGGCCAGCGUCACACACAUGCCACCUUUUUAUCAGGUUUUCUUGUUUUUAACGGGAAGUUUAUCCUUGUUAAUAAGUGAUUGCUUUUCAUCUUCAUUUAGUCAUUGUAAGCAGUUAUUUUUAAAUGCUGGCCUUAUGUUUUCUGUUUUAGUUCUAAAACACUUAUCUUUAAUUAGUAUUUACAGAAAUGUAAUAAAAUGAGACGUAAAAUUCUAUUGUAAAAUUUGAAAUGUUUGUAUAGAGGGGGCCUGACACACUACUUUCAUCCUCAGAACCUGACUGUUUGGUUACACUGAUGAUUUUUAUUUGGGUCUGUCUGUCAGACGUCAGUGUCAAAAGUCAUUUCAAUAAAUGCACCCAGGAUCCUCAUGUUUUGAAUAAUUUAUCCCAAAUUUUUAACAGUGUUGUCAUGUCUGCAAUGAUGACUGGAACCUUGGUGCAUGUCUUAAAUAUAGCCAUGUUUUGCUAGUAAAGUUUAUUUUUUUAUAGCAGAGCUUUUCCUGUUUCAUAACUGCUUGCUGGUGGUAUUUUAGGACUUGCUCUUGCUUUUCUGUGAAACUAUGUCAAACAUAAAAUUGAUAUUUAAUUGAAA